UUCCUCAGCCACUAGUGCUCUGCUCUCCACCAUCGCUUCCACCUGCAACCCUAAUAUUUUCAUAUUAGAGAAGUGGACGGUAGAGAAAGGAGCCAUUAUGGCUAAAUCUUUCUAGUCUUGAGAUUCACUACUGUCAAAGAUUAACCAUGAUUCCGGCCCGAGGGAUUGAGGUUCAUUGGUUCACUCAUAAAGUGUUGGCAAUCCGUGAAGAAUUUCAGAACAGGGUUCGAGGAGAGGAUUUCGACAAAAUCUGCCACAAUAUUCCUUCAAUGAUGCCAAAGAAUCUGUAAAGAAGGGAAUUCGCUUGAGAUUCUCCACAGGCUGCAGGAAGACUUGGCUUUUGGUGAAGGUGGUAGCGCAGAAGUUGUCCCCAAGGUGCUUGCAUCUCCAUGUAGGAGGAGGAGAGGUCUGCCUGACAAAUUGGCUGCAACAUAUCAAAAAGAUUAGUAGAGAAAAUAUAAUUUCUGCACGUAGUCCCAUUGGAUGAUUAUAGUUAAGUGGGGAACACUUUAUAGCAUUUCUUGGGAUCUAAUGCUUUUUUAAAAUUGCUUUGCAUUCUUUCUCAAAGUUAAGGAGCUUUUGUAUAAGUGCUCUUCCUGUAUUCUAUUUAGCAAGUACUUGACUGUGUGUGAAUUGGUCAUCUGACAGUCUUAAGUUUUGUAUUUUCCAACAUCUCCUCCAAAGAAGCUGGUAAAUAUUAGUACAAAGGUUCGGUCGUGUAUUUAUCAUAUUGUGUUACAAAAACAAGAAGCCUCGGGACUUUGUCUUCA
This is a long non-coding RNA of Coffea eugenioides, 770 nucleotides long. RefSeq lists it as uncharacterized. Lineage: Eukaryota; Viridiplantae; Streptophyta; Magnoliopsida; Gentianales; Rubiaceae. The transcript has 3 exons. The record is from RefSeq and is a predicted model, not a curated record.